This 228-nucleotide unclassified non-coding RNA is filed under the name uncultured fungus. RNAcentral's name for it is "sequence contains ITS1, 5.8S rRNA gene". The stretch from base 180 to 228 matches the Rfam family "5.8S ribosomal RNA", at positions 1 to 49 of the family's 154-position model. The record is from RNAcentral. Lineage: Eukaryota; Fungi.
UCUCCGUAGGUGACACUGCGGAGGGAUCAUUACUGAGUGAGGGUUUAACCGCCCGACCUCCAACCCUUUGUGAAUCGUACUCGUUGCUUCGGGGGCGACCCUGCCGUUCGCGGCGUGGGGCCCCCGGAGGCUCAUCAAACACUGCAUCUCUGCGUCGGAGUCUUAAUGAAUUCAAACAAAACUUUUAACAACGGAUCUCUUGGUUCUGGCAUCGAUGAAGAACGCAGC